AGUGAACGCUGGCGGUAGGCCUAACACAUGCAAGUCGAACGGCAGCACAGUAAGAGCUUGCUCUUACGGGUGGCGAGUGGCGGACGGGUGAGGAAUACAUCGUAAUCUACUUUUUCGUGGGGGAUAACGUAGGGAAACUUACGCUAAUACCGCAUACGACCUACGGGUGAAAGCAGUGGAUCUUCGGACCUUGCGCGAUUGAAUGAGCCGAUGUCGGAUUAGCUAGUUGGCGGGGUAAAGGCCCACCAAGGCGACGAUCCGUAGCUGGUCUGAGAGGAUGAGCAGCCACACUGGAACGGAGAAACGGUACAGAGACCUACGGGAGGCAGCAGUGGGGAAUAUUGGACAAUGGGCGCAAGCAUGAUCCAGCAAUACCGCGUGGGUGAAGAAGGCCUUCGGGUUGUAAAGCCCUUUUGUUGGGAAAGAAAAGAAGCAGGUUAAUACCCCGCUGUUAUGACGGUACCCAAAGAAUAAGCACCGGCUAACUUCGUG
RNAcentral lists this ribosomal RNA (492 nucleotides) under uncultured bacterium. Its description in RNAcentral is "partial 16S ribosomal RNA". It matches the Rfam family "Bacterial small subunit ribosomal RNA", at positions 29 to 507 of the family's 1533-position model. The record is from RNAcentral.